This 541-nucleotide ribosomal RNA is filed under the name Serranobatrachus sanctaemartae. RNAcentral's name for it is "partial large subunit ribosomal RNA". The record is from RNAcentral. Lineage: Eukaryota; Metazoa; Chordata; Amphibia; Anura; Strabomantidae.
ACUCAAGAAAAGGAUUUUAGUCCAACUCAAAGUUAAUCCAGUAUACUUAAACACAAAUUUAACUUUGAAGUAAUUCAAAUAAGGUACAGCUUAUUUGAAACAGAACACAGCCUUUAACACCGGGUAACAACCCCCACAGAACUAAGUUGGCUUAAAACCAGCCAUCUUUAAAAAAACGUCAAAGUUUAAUUUUCAACAAAACAAAAUAACCCUUCAGUAAUACUGAGUGUUUCUAUACUGAUAUAGAACUUUUUAUGUUAAAACUAGUAACAAGAAGCCCAACUUCUCUUGCAUAUAAAUGUAAACCAGCAAGAAUCACCCCCUGGUGCUCAACAGUCAUGAAUACCUAGUAAUAACUACACAAGAAAAUUUUACUAAACUCUCUGUUAACCUGACACAAGUAUAUCCAAAGAAAGAUUAAAAGAAAAAGAAGGAACUCGGCAAACAUUGAUUCCGCCUGUUUACCAAAAACAUCGCCUCUUGUAAGCCUAUAAGAGGUCCAGCCUGCCCAGUGACUUUGUUCAACGGCCGCGGUACCCUG